This 415-nucleotide ribosomal RNA is filed under the name uncultured bacterium. RNAcentral describes it as "bacterial SSU rRNA". It matches the Rfam family "Bacterial small subunit ribosomal RNA", at positions 355 to 787 of the family's 1533-position model. The record is from RNAcentral.
UGGGGAAUUUUGCGCAAUGGGGGAAACCCUGACGCAGCAACGCCGCGUGGAGGAUGAAGUCCCUUGGGAUGUAAACUCCUUUCGACCGGGAAGAUACUGACGGUACCGGAAGAAGAAGCACCGGCUAACUCUGUGCCAGCAGCCGCGGUAAUACAGAGGGUGCGAGCGUUGUUCGGAAUUAUUGGGCGUAAAGGGCGCGUAGGCGGUGCGGUAAGUCACCUGUGAAAUCUCCUGGCUCAACUGGGAGUCUGCAGGCGAAACUGCCGUGCUGGAGUAUGGGAGAGGUGCGUGGAAUUCCCGGUGUAGCGGUGAAAUGCGCAGAUAUCAGGAAGAACACCUAUGGCGAAGGCAGCUCUCUGGGACGGUACUGACGCUGAGACGCGAAAGCGUGGGGAGCAAACAGGAUUAGAUACCC